RNAcentral lists this long non-coding RNA (1533 nucleotides) under Homo sapiens (human). RNAcentral's name for it is "non-protein coding lnc-PTCHD4-2:1". Lineage: Eukaryota; Metazoa; Chordata; Mammalia; Primates; Hominidae. The record is from RNAcentral.
CCCAGCUAAUUUUUGUAUUUUUAGUAAAGAUGGGGUUUUACCAUUUCGUCCAGGCUGGUCUUGAACUCCUGACCUCAGGUUAUCUGCCAACCUCGGCCUCCUAAAAUGCUGGGAUUACAGUUGUGAGCCACCACGCCAUGCCAUGCACAAGGAAUUUCAAGACAUCCCCAUUUACUGUGUCCCCUUAUGUGUCUGUGCCUUUGCCGAUUUCUUCCACAUUCAAUCUCUAUCCUCCUUUCUCUAUCUGCUGAAUGAUUUUUUCUUCAAGAACUAAUUGAAAUGUCACUUCCUCCACCCUCAGAUAAUUAGUUCCUUCCUCCUCGGAAGGGGAGUUGGUGACAUUCCUGUGUAUCUGCUUGCACAGUGUAUUCCCCAUGACGUUUUAUGCUAAACCUGUCCUGUCCUGACCCUUUCUGCCCUAUCACAGCAAACCUGUAAUAAUUGCAUGCAUUUCUGAAUGCAUAUUUACUUAAUAUUUUUCAUAAUUAAUUUUGGAAUUUCUAACACUAAAUGCAUCACCUACUCUGAACUUUAAACAGACAAUAAUAAAUUUGUAUAACACUGUAGAUUCUGAAUUAACUGUAUCAGAUAUUAUGUUAAGAACUAAUAUAUAUUGCAUAGUCUACAUCUAGUGAUAAGGACUGAAACUGGAGAAAUAGUUCUGAGAAACUAUAUAGAACAGUGAUGAACAUUUAAAAAUAAAAUCAAAUUGAGUCUUCAACUAAAAGAGACUUCUGAAUCAAAGAAGGCAGAUGGAAAAUACGAAAGAAAGAAAAGAAUAGAAUUUUUAAAAGAGGCAAAGUAAUUACAGGUAGUGCAGAAUGUGGACAAAUGGCAAGCCCUAAUCAUUAAGGUAGGCAUAAGAUGAGACACACAUGGGACAUAAAAUUGUGAUUCACAAUCAACUGGCUUUGUGAGAUAUCAAAUACUAUUUAAAGAGCUGAUUAAGUGGAUUGACGUUUAAGAACAAAAAACUACAAGAACUCCUGACCUCAGGUAAUCCACCCGCCUCGGCCUCCCAGAGCGCUGGGAUUACAGGAGUGAGCUACUGCACCUGGCCAUCCCCCAUUCCUUUAAACUAGAGAUUUGGGCAAAGCUUAUGUGACAGGAGAAAAGAGAGCUAAUUCUGACUGUGUGAAACAUGUAAAUUUUCACUGCACUAAAACCACAGCGUUUUAGUUCAUCGAAUGCUUAAUGGUAUUCCUACAAGAUUUGUCAGACUUAGCUGGAUUUUUGCUGAUUUUCAUAUCACAGCUUUUAAGAGAUAAGUCACCUUCAAUAACUUUCACAUUUACACAAUCAUCCAAAUUUAGGAGCAUUCAUUUUAUGCACAGCUUUUGUUUGCUCUAUUCCAUAGUCGUCUUUAACACUAUCAGUUGACAGUCAUUAAACGGAGCCCAAAAGGUCAAUUGCUUUUUAUGAAGAAAGGAAAUAUUGUAAACUACAAAUCACUUACCCAUUUAAGAACUUAGGAUUUUCAUUAGAUUUCCUUAAACCAAAUCAACCUAUUUGUUGAGCAUCUAAAUUAUGUUA